This is a non-coding RNA of Erinaceus europaeus (western European hedgehog), 334 nucleotides long. Lineage: Eukaryota; Metazoa; Chordata; Mammalia; Eulipotyphla; Erinaceidae. The record is from Rfam.
AGAUCUGAAGGUGAUCUAGCUGUGAUAUCUGUCAUCCACAGAUGGCCAGGUUUGGUUUGGUUGAUCUAGCAGAUUAAGCAGGUGUCUCCUUUUCUCCUUCACUGCUCCAUUGAUGUCCUUCAUGAAGCUGCACGUUAAGUCAAAGAGGACUACCUGUCCUGAACAGAGAAACACUGAUCUUUGUCAGAGGGUGCAUGAGUAGCUGGACUUCCCUUCUAGAUCUUCCAAACUCUCAAGAGCAUAAAAGGCAAAAAAAAAAAAAAAAAAGUAGAAGAAGAUAAAAUAAGAAAGAGCAUGAACAUUCUAGCAAUUAUUAGAAAGUGCCUACAUACUA